This 497-nucleotide ribosomal RNA is filed under the name uncultured bacterium. Its description in RNAcentral is "partial 16S ribosomal RNA". It matches the Rfam family "Bacterial small subunit ribosomal RNA", at positions 28 to 507 of the family's 1533-position model. The record is from RNAcentral.
GAUGAACGCUGGCGGCGUGCCUAAUACAUGCAAGUCGAGCGAACGGACGAGAAGCUUGCUUCUCUGAUGUUAGCGGCGGACGGGUGAGUAACACGUGGAUAACCUACCUAUAAGACUGGGAUAACUUCGGGAAACCGUAGCUAAUACCGGAUAAUAUUUUGAACCGCAUGGUUCAAAAGUGAAAGACGGUCUUGCUGUCACUUAUAGAUGGAUCCGCGCUGCAUUAGCUAGUUGGUAAGGUAACGGCUUACCAAGGCAACGAUGCAUAGCCGACCUGAGAGGGUGAUCGGCCACACUGGAACUGAGACACUGUCCAGACUCCUACGGGAGGCAGCAGUAGGGAAUCUUCCGCAAUGGGCGAAAGCCUGACGGAGCAACGCCGCGUGAGUGAUGAAGGUCUUCGGAUCGUAAAACUCUGUUAUUAGGGAAGAACAUAUGUGUAAGUAACUGUGCACAUCUUGACGGUACCUAAUCAGAAAGCCACGGCUAACUACGUG